This 900-nucleotide ribosomal RNA is filed under the name Triticum aestivum (bread wheat). Its description in RNAcentral is "partial small subunit ribosomal RNA". Lineage: Eukaryota; Viridiplantae; Streptophyta; Magnoliopsida; Poales; Poaceae. The record is from RNAcentral.
AUGUUUCGGCGUUGUAGACACGCGGCGCACGACCAUCCUUGGGCAGUGGUCGCACUUAAUGAGUGGCAACGGUGCGCCGACGAGCUUUUGGGCAAGCACCGAGCCUGGCCGACCGCCAUUCGUGUAUCUGCCGGUGGACCACCGACGGUGCAGAUCCGAGCGGCUAGAGGAGGAGCCACUGCCUGCAUGUGGCCUUGCGGCCCUGCCAGGGCCUUCCGGCGAGGUGCCCGGCCAGUCCAUGGCGCGGCCCGGCCUCCCAUAGCCGGGCGAGCUCAAGACCGACCGGAUCCGCCCCAAAUCCGGCCGGCGGGUGCGCAAACCAGGUGGCCGUGGUUGGGUAGCUCGGCGGCGCCGAGGGGAAGGGGCUGGGCGAGCGCGCGUCCGAACUGCACGGCUGCAAUGGCAGCGGCGGCGGCGGCAGCGAGGGGAAGAGUGUGGAAGAGUGGAGGAGGGUGCGACCGGAGGGAGGGAGGGGGGCGGAUAGAAAAAGGCCCGCCCUGUGCCACCGACGGGCGGGCCAGGGGAGGACACGCGCAGACGGCCCGCGCGUCCGCGUGGUGCCCGUUUCACCCCAAAAGCGGCGCAAACUUGGGCCGCGGAUGGGUCGAAAGCGGACACAAAACGGACAAAAGUCCGUUUGCUCCCGCGCGCUGGGCCGUCCGGUUUGUCCAUUUUACCCCAAACGGACAGGGCCGGACAGGACGGGGUCGCGCGGUGGAGUUGGCCUUACCUUCUACUUUGUGUGGACUUGCUUGGGCAUAUUCAGUAUGCACCACACAUAUUUCUUACUUACAUGCUUCGUUCUUUUCUGACAAUGAAAGGGCGCCUCUUUGGAAAAAAAGAUGCAAGUCUUUACUUUGCCUAAAAGAGCUGCAACAGUUAGAAGGAUCAACCGUUUAG